UCGUUACUCCCUCCGUUCUAAAUUACUUGUCUUGGAUUUGUCUAGAUACGGACGUAUCUAGACUCAUUUUAGUGUUAGAUACUUCCGUAUAUAGACAAAUCUAAAACAAGUAAUUCGAAACGGAAGAAGUACAUU
Triticum urartu is the source of this 135-nucleotide non-coding RNA. The record is from Rfam. NCBI's taxonomy places the organism in Eukaryota, Viridiplantae, Streptophyta, Magnoliopsida, Poales, Poaceae.